This 61-nucleotide transfer RNA is filed under the name bovine gut metagenome. It matches the Rfam family "tRNA", at positions 7 to 64 of the family's 71-position model. Rfam says of the family: Transfer RNA (tRNA) molecules are approximately 80 nucleotides in length. Their secondary structure includes four short double-helical elements and three loops (D, anti-codon, and T loops). Further hydrogen bonds mediate the characteristic L-shaped molecular structure. tRNAs have two regions of fundamental functional importance: the anti-codon, which is responsible for specific mRNA codon recognition, and the 3' end, to which the tRNAs corresponding amino acid is attached (by aminoacyl-tRNA synthetases). tRNAs cope with the degeneracy of the genetic code in two manners: having more than one tRNA (with a specific anti-codon) for a particular amino acid; and 'wobble' base-pairing, i.e. permitting non-standard base-pairing at the 3rd anti-codon position. The record is from RNAcentral.
CUUAGCUCAGUUGGUAGAGCAACCGCCUUGUAAGCGGUAGGUCAUUGGUUCAAGUCCGAUA